GGUGAACGCUGGCGGUAGGCCUAACACAUGCAAGUCGAACGGCAGCACAGUAAGAGCUUGCUCUUACGGGUGGCGAGUGGCGGACGGGUGAGGAAUACAUCGGAAUCUACUUUUUCGUGGGGGAUAACGUAGGGAAACUUACGCUAAUACCGCAUACGACCUACGGGUGAAAGCAGGGGAUCUUCGGACCUUGCGCGAUUGAAUGAGCCGAUGUCGGAUUAGCUAGUUGGCGGGGUAAAGGCCCACCAAGGCGACGAUCCGUAGCUGGUCUGAGAGGAUGGUCGGCCACACUGGAACUGAGACACGGUCCAGACUCCUACGGGAGGCAGCAGUGGGGAAUGUUGGGCAAUGGGCGCAAGCAUGAUCCAGCCAUACCGCGUGGGUGAAGAAGGCCUUCGGGUUGUAAAGCCCUUUUGUUGGGAAAGAAAAGCAGCAGGUUAAUACCCCGCUGUUCUGACGGUACCCAAAGAAUAAGCACCGGCUAACUUCGUG
Molecule: ribosomal RNA, 492 nt
Filed under: uncultured bacterium
Lineage: Bacteria
Description: partial 16S ribosomal RNA
Rfam family: Bacterial small subunit ribosomal RNA
Source: RNAcentral